This 253-nucleotide ribosomal RNA is filed under the name uncultured bacterium. Its description in RNAcentral is "partial 16S ribosomal RNA". It matches the Rfam family "Bacterial small subunit ribosomal RNA", at positions 524 to 776 of the family's 1533-position model. The record is from RNAcentral.
UACAGAGGGGGCAAGCGUUGUUCGGAAUUACUGAGCGUAAAGGGCGCGUAGGCGGCCGCCUAAGUCAGACGUGAAAUCCCUCGGCUCAACCGGGGAACUGCGUCUGAUACUGGGUGGCUUGAAUCCGGGAGAGGGAUGCGGAAUUCCAGGUGUAGCGGUGAAAUGCGUAGAUAUCUGGAGGAACACCGGUGGCGAAGGCGGCAUCCUGGACCGGCAUUGACGCUGAGGCGCGAAAGCCAGGGGAGCAAACGGG